AUGCACGCUGGCGGCGUGCCUCAUACAUGCAAGUCGAGCGAACAGAUGAGGAGCUUGCUCCUCUGACGUUAGCGGCGGACGGGUGAGUAACACGUGGAUAACCUACCUAUAAGACUGGGGUAACUUCGGGAAACCGGAGCUAAUACCGGAUAAUAUAUUGAACCGCAUGGUUCAAUAGUGAAAGACGGUUUUGCUGUCACUUAUAGAUGGAUCCGCGCCGCAUUAGCUAGUUGGUAAGGUAACGGCUUACCAAGGCAACGAUGCGUAGCCGACCUGAGAGGGUGAUCGGCCACACUGGAACUGAGACACGGUCCAGACUCCUACGGGAGGCAGCAGUAGGGAAUCUUCCGCAAUGGGCGAAAGCCUGACGGAGCAACGCCGCGUGAGUGAUGAAGGUCUUCGGAUCGUAAAACUCUGUUAUUAGGGAAGAACAAAUGUGUAAGUAACUAUGCACGUCUUGACGGUACCUAAUCAGAAAGCCACGGCUAACUACGUG
Molecule: ribosomal RNA, 496 nt
Filed under: uncultured bacterium
Lineage: Bacteria
Description: partial 16S ribosomal RNA
Rfam family: Bacterial small subunit ribosomal RNA
Source: RNAcentral